GAUGAACGCUAGCGAUAGGCUUAACACAUGCAAGUCGAGGGGCAGCAUGGUCUUAGCUUGCUAAGACUGAUGGCGACCGGCGCACGGGUGCGUAACGCGUAUGCAACUUGCCUCACAGAGGGGGAUAACCCGUCGAAAGACGGACUAAUACCGCGUACACUCUAUUUUGGGCAUCCAAGGUAGAGGAAAUGAAAUUCGCUGUGAGAUAGGCAUGCGUCCCAUUAGCUAGUUGGUGAGGUAACGGCUCACCAAGGCGACGAUGGGUAGGGGAACUGAGAGGUUGAACCCCCACACUGGUACUGAGACACGGACCAGACUCUUACGGGAGGCAGCAGUGAGGAAUAUUGGUCAAUGGGCGAGAGCCUGAACCAGCCAAGUCGCGUGAAGGAUGACUGUCUUAUGGAUUGUAAACUUCUUUUGUAGGGGAAUAAAGAGGGGCACGUGUGCCCCAGUGAAUGUACCCUACGAAUAAGCAUCGGCUAACUCCGUG
RNAcentral lists this ribosomal RNA (490 nucleotides) under uncultured bacterium. Its description in RNAcentral is "partial 16S ribosomal RNA". It matches the Rfam family "Bacterial small subunit ribosomal RNA", at positions 28 to 507 of the family's 1533-position model. The record is from RNAcentral.